This 277-nucleotide ribosomal RNA is filed under the name uncultured bacterium. Its description in RNAcentral is "partial 16S ribosomal RNA". It matches the Rfam family "Bacterial small subunit ribosomal RNA", at positions 15 to 294 of the family's 1533-position model. The record is from RNAcentral.
GAUCCUGGCUCAGGAUGAACGCUGGCGGCGCGCCUAACACAUGCAAGUCGAACGGCACCUAUCUUCGGAUAGAAGCGAGUGGCGAACGGCUGAGUAACACGUGGAGAACCUGCCCCCCUCCCCCGGGAUAGCCGCCCGAAAGGACGGGUAAUACCGGAUACCCCGGGGUGCCGCAUGGCACCCCGGCUAAAGCCCCGACGGGAGGGGAUGGCUCCGCGGCCCAUCAGGUAGACGGCGGGGUGACGGCCCACCGUGCCGACAACGGGUAGCCGGGUUG